UGUACCUCCCGCACUCUAUAAAUAUCUCUCUCUUUCUCUCAGUCAACCCCUGAGCAGUAAGGCUGAAAGACCCUCGUACUGCUCCCACCCUUGGGCCUGUGAAAGGCAGCCUCAGCUUUUAUUUUUUAAUUUGAAAAUAUAAAAAUAACAAAGAGCUCAGGCGUAUUCAAAUGUCAAAGUCUCGCACUCGGAGAGUCUGGAAAAAUCGAUUGCCAUAUCAGACAUAAGCGAGAAAGUAUCUGUUAAGAGUUAUCCUUCUAAAAACUUCUAACAAAUAUUCAGAGAAAUAAAUUCAUUGUAAACCAAAAUGCCUACAAAUUGUAACCCCAACUCCCUUAAAUACAUAUAUCACACCUUAAAUGGGUCAAGGUUAAGGUCAUGGAGUGCAUUGCCACUCUGAGAACUUACAAAAUCCAUUUUCACCUUGGAUCAAUUGAACAAAAAAGAUAACCCGGAACUCAACCACCAUUAGCUGAUCCACCGUACUGCCCGUUUGCCCAUUGAGGAAGGUUCCGAAGAAGCCUUUCCCACGUCCACCCUCUGGCAGAGCAGUAGUAAACCCAAGACAUCAUCUCAUAAUCCAAAGCCAAAUACAGUCCUGUCCCCCUCUUGAGCGGACUGCCGUGAGAAUGUGAGAGAGAACAGGCACCUGCCUGCCCGUGCAAUAUGAAUAUGGUAAAUACCUUCCCGUUGUGAUGGAUAAAUCGGUAAUCACACAUUCUUAGGCCGCAUCAACGUCGGACGGAACUUCAUCGGGGGGCCCACAGUUUUGAUCCAGGGGGCUUACGACGCUGAACCACUGGACUAAGGCAGUCCAAUAUUUCUCACGUUCCGUUCCGUUCCGUUCGAUUCAUGCAGCGACAGAUCGGACAUAUGGCAUGGGGAAUACGCAUCAGGAGGGAUAUGGAUCGGUGGGGGCGAGGCGAUAGACGCGACGGACAACGAGCGACGCCCGACGCCCGACGCCCGACGCCCGACCAUGUCUACGGUUAGAUAUAGUCAGCCAGUCGACUCCUACUCCCAUUCCGACUGCCACUGCCACUCCCACACUCCCAGAGUGCGAGUACGAGUGCGGCUGCUGUCUUUCGGCUGCCAUAAAUCAUAAGCAAACAUUUUGAUAUUGUAAUCCCCAUUUUAAUCCGUGCGCAUAAAAAGCCAAAAAUCAAACUUUUCGACAUGGGCGGCGGUGUCUCUGAUGUUCUGUGGGCCGUGUGGGCCUUUUGGGCCUGCAGUUGCUUUGUUAGUUUUUCUCGUUGUUUUUCGCUCGUUUUCCCCAAAAAAAAAUUGAUGGAUUACCUUUGCCCCCGUUCCCGACGUUGGUCUGGCGAUAAGUUUCCUUAGCUUCUGGUUUGCCACCGCUGAUGAUGAUGUUUCUUUGUUGAUUUAUUAAUUAAUUAUGUGCGAAGGGAAACUGCGUCAUUGCCGACCCCAACUCCCGGACAUUGGAG
Molecule: long non-coding RNA, 1448 nt
Filed under: Drosophila guanche
Lineage: Eukaryota; Metazoa; Arthropoda; Insecta; Diptera; Drosophilidae
Source: RNAcentral